RNAcentral lists this ribosomal RNA (293 nucleotides) under uncultured bacterium. RNAcentral's name for it is "partial 16S ribosomal RNA". The record is from RNAcentral.
GGACUACCGGGGUAUCUAAUCCUGUUUGCUACCCACGCUUUCGAAUCUCAGUGUCAAUAUUAUGCCAGGAAGCUGCCUUCGCCAUCGGUAUUCCUCCAGAUCUCUACGCAUUUCACCGCUACACCUGGAAUUCUACUUCCCUCUCACAUAUUCUAGCACCACCAGUAUCACAUGCAGUUCCCAGGUUAAGCCCGGGGAUUUCACAUGUGACUUAAUGAGCCACCUACACUCGCUUUACGCCCAGUAAUUCCGAUUAACGCUCGCACCCUCUGUAUUACCGCGGCUGCUGGCAC